This 25-nucleotide non-coding RNA is filed under the name Mus musculus (house mouse). The record is from RNAcentral. Lineage: Eukaryota; Metazoa; Chordata; Mammalia; Rodentia; Muridae.
UCGGACUGGCUGCCCGCGGCUCUGG